Molecule: non-coding RNA, 73 nt
Organism: Cervus elaphus (red deer)
Lineage: Eukaryota; Metazoa; Chordata; Mammalia; Artiodactyla; Cervidae
Source: the annotation of a RefSeq genome assembly
UCCCUGAUGGUCCAGGGGUUAGGACUCGACACUUUCACUGUGGAAGGCCCAGGUUCAAUCCCUGGUUGGGGAA